RNAcentral lists this ribosomal RNA (259 nucleotides) under uncultured archaeon. RNAcentral's name for it is "partial 16S ribosomal RNA". It matches the Rfam family "Archaeal small subunit ribosomal RNA", at positions 748 to 1009 of the family's 1478-position model. The record is from RNAcentral.
CAGCCGUAAACUAUGCUCGCUAGGUGUCAGGCAUGGCGCGACCGUGUCUGGUGCCGCAGGGAAGCCGUGAAGCGAGCCACCUGGGAAGUACGGCCGCAAGGCUGAACUUAAGGAAUUGGCGGGGGAGCACAACAACGGGUGGAGCCUGCGGUUUAAUUGGACUCAACGCCGGACAACUCACCGGGAACGACAGCAAUAUGUAGGCCAGGCUGAAGACCUUGCCUGAAUCGCUGAGAGGAGGUGCAUGGCGUAGACGUGU